AGGGCAUACGGUGGAUGCCUUGGUGCCAGGAGGCGAUGAAGGGCGUGGCCAACUGCGAUAAGCUUCGGGUAGCUGUAAGCAAGCUUUGAUCCGGAGAUUCCCGAAUGGGGCAACCCACUGGAGUAAACCUCCAGUAUCCCGUAAGGGAGGCUAACCGGGGGAACUGAACCAUCUAAGUACCCCGAGGAAAAGAAAGAAAUUCGAUUCCCUAAGUAGCGGCGAGCGAAAGGGGAACAGCCUAAACCCAAAGAGUGUAAUAACCCCUGGGUGUUGCUCUUUGGGGGUAGAGGGAAGAGAGAGGUUCUACCAGGGUGGAACCAGAGAGUUACCAAACCAGGUUUUAGCUGAACAGGUCUGGAAAGCCUGGCCAGAGAAGGUGAUAGCCCAGUAAGCGAAAAGAUCUGGUCUCUCCUCUCUUUCCCGAGUACCACGGUCCACGAGGAAUUCCGUGGGAAUCUGGGAGGACCAUCUCCUAAGGCUAAAUACUACCUGGCAACCGAUAGUGAACUAGUACCGUGAGGGAAAGGUGAAAAGAACCCCGGGAGGGGAGUGAAAUAAAGGUGAAAAGAACCCCGGGAGGGGAGUGAAAUAGAACCUGAAACCGUAUGUCUACAAUACGUGGAAGAGCUAUGGAGAAGACCUAGUCUCCUCCAGCUCGACUGCGUGCCUUUUGGAGAAUGAGCCGGCGAGUUACGGUGGCUGGCAAGGUUAAGUGCUUAAGGCAUGGAGCCGUAGGGAAACCGAGUCUGAAUAGGGCGCAUAGUCAGUCAUCGUAGACCCGAAACCAGGUGAUCUACCCAUGGCCAGGGUGAAGUGGGGAUAAAACCCCAUGGAGGCCCGAACCGGUGUAGGUUGAAAACUGCUCGGAUGAGCUGUGGGUAGGGGUGAAAGGCCAAUCAAACCUGGAGAUAGCUGGUUCUCCCCGAAAUAGCUUUAGGGCUAGCCUCCGGUAGGAGGAGAGGGGGUAGAGCACUGAAUGGGCUAGGGGGCUAACCCGCCUACCAAACCCAACCAAACUCCGAAUACCUCUCCUUAAUGCCGGGGAGUCAGACUGCGAAGGAUAAGCUCCGUGGUCGAAAGGGAAACAGCCCAGACCGUCAGCUAAGGCCCCCAAACGUGGACUAAGUGGUAAAGGUAGUGACCUUGCUGAGACAGCCAGGAGGUUGGCUUAGAAGCAGCCAUCCUUUAAAAAGUGCGUAAUAGCUUACUGGUCUAGCGAUGUUGCGCCGAAAAAUUUUCGGGGCUCAAGUCCACUGCCGAAGCUACGGAUUCCAGAAUUUAGUUUCUAUCUUCUGGGAUGGUAGGGGAGCGUUGGGUAAGCCAGAGAAGCGGGACCGGAAGGACCCGUGGAGGUAUCCCAAGUGAGAAUGCCGGCAUGAGUAGCGAUAAAGAGGGUGAGAAUCCCUCUCGCCGUAAGCCUAAGGUUUCCUGAGGAAGGUUCGUCCUCUCAGGGUUAGUCGGAUCCUAAGCCGAGGCGGAAACGCGUAGGCGAUGGGUAACUGGUUGAUAUUCCAGUACUACCAGUUUUCUGUUAUUCCGAUGGGGUGACGCAGGAGGGUAGGCCAUCCGCCUGGAGGAAUAGGCGGUCUAAGCCAGUAGGCGGAGAAAAGGUAAUCCCUUUUCUCGAUAACGCUGAGAGGUGAUGGGGAGUCCCUACGGGGGCGAACUGGUUGAUCCCCCACUGACUAGAAAAGCCUCUAAGGAGGAAGAUUGGUAUCCGUACCGCAAACCGACACAGGUAGGCAGGAUGAGUAUUCUAAGGCGCGCGAGUGAUCCCCCGUUAAGGAACUCGGCAAGUUAACCCUGUAACUUCGGAAGAAGGGGUGCCUCUCUCGGUGAAUAGAUUUACACUAGGAGCGGAGAGAGGUCGCAGAAAAAUGGCUCUGGCGACUGUUUAUUAAAAACACAGGACUCUGCUAAGCCGUAAGGCGAUGUAUAGGGUCUGACGCCUGCCCAGUGCUGGAAGGUUAAGGGGAGGGGUUAGCGAAAGCGAAGCUCCAAACUGAAGCCCCAGUAAACGGCGGCCGUAACUAUAACGGUCCUAAGGUAGCGAAAUUCCUUGUCGGGUAAGUUCCGACCCGCAUCCUAAGGUAGCGAAAUUCCUUGUCGGGUAAGUUCCGACCCGCAUGAACGGCGUAACGACCGGAGCGCUGUCUCAACGGGGAGCUCGGCGAAGUUUCAAUACAAGUGCAGAUGCUUGUUACCCGCGACUAGACGGAGAGACCCCGUGAACCUUUACUGUAGCCUGAUAUUGGAUCCGGGUACAUCUUGUGUAGGAUAGGUGGGAGGCAGAGAAGUCACCGCGCCAGCGGUGAUGGAGCCGACCUUGAAAUACCACCCUUGAUGUAUUCAGAUUCUAACCUGCAGAAGUUAUCCUUCUGAGGGACAGUGUCAGGGGGGCAGUUUGACUGGGGCGGUCGCCUCCUAAAGAGUAACGGAGGCGCCCUAAGGUUCCCUCAGCACGUUUGGAAAUCGUGUGUGGAGUGUAAAGGCAUAAGGGAGCUUGACUGCGAGAGGGACACCUCAAGCAGAGACGAAAGUCGGGCUUAGUGAUCCGGUGGUGCAGUAUGGAAUGGCCAUCGCUCAACGGAUAAAAGGUACUCCGGGGAUAACAGGCUGGUCUCUCCCAAGAGUCCACAUCGACGGAGAGGCUCGGCACCUCGAUGUCGGCUCGUCGCAUCCUGGGGCUGAAGCAGGUCCCAAGGGUUGGGCUGUUCGCCCAUUAAAGCGGUACGUGAGCUGGGUUUAGAACGUCGUGAGACAGUUCGGUCCCNNNNNNNNNNNNNNNNNNNNNNNNUCGCCCAUUAAAGCGGUACGUGAGCUGGGUUUAGAACGUCGUGAGACAGUUCGGUCCCUAUCUGUCGUGGGCGUAGGAUACUUGAGGGGAGCUGUCCCUAGUACGAGAGGACCGGGAUGGACGAACCUCCGGUGUACCAGUUGUCCCGCCAGGGGCAUAGCUGGGUAGCUGUGUUCGGAGAGGAUAAGCGCUGAAAGCAUCUAAGUGCGAAGCCCACCCCAAGAUUAGGUAUCCCACUCGAAAGAGGUAAGACUCCGGGAAGAUUACCCGGUUGA
RNAcentral lists this ribosomal RNA (3072 nucleotides) under anaerobic digester metagenome. RNAcentral describes it as "bacterial LSU rRNA". It matches the Rfam family "Bacterial large subunit ribosomal RNA". The record is from RNAcentral.